This 164-nucleotide ribosomal RNA is filed under the name uncultured bacterium. RNAcentral describes it as "partial 16S rRNA". It matches the Rfam family "Bacterial small subunit ribosomal RNA", at positions 355 to 511 of the family's 1533-position model. The record is from RNAcentral.
UAGGGAAUCUUCCACAAUGGACGAAAGUCUGAUGGAGCAACGCCGCGUGAGUGAAGAAGGUCUUCGGAUCGUAAAGCUCUGUUGUUGGUGAAGAAGGAUAGAGGCAGUAACUGGUCUUUAUUUGACGGUAAUCAACCAGAAAGUCACGGCUAACUACGUGUCAG